AUUGAACGCUGGCGCAUGCUUUACACAUGCAAGUCGAACGGCAGCAUAGAGAGCUUGCUCUCUGAUGGCGAGUGGCGAACGGGUGAGUAAUACAUCGGAACGUGUCCUUUUGUGGGGGAUAACUACUCGAAAGAGUAGCUAAUACCGCAUAAGACCUAAGGGUGAAAGCGGGGGACCUUCGGGCCUCGCGCAGUUGGAGCGGCCGAUGACUGAUUAGCUAGUUGGUGGGUAAAGGCCUACCAAGGCGACGAUCAGUAGCUGGUCUGAGAGGACGACCAGCCACAUUGGGACUGAGACACGGCCAAACUCCUACGGGAGGCAGCAGUGGGGAAUUUUGGACAAUGGGGGGCAACCCUGAUCCAGCCAUGCCGCGU
RNAcentral lists this ribosomal RNA (374 nucleotides) under uncultured bacterium. RNAcentral's name for it is "bacterial SSU rRNA". It matches the Rfam family "Bacterial small subunit ribosomal RNA", at positions 30 to 402 of the family's 1533-position model. The record is from RNAcentral.